This 65-nucleotide transfer RNA is filed under the name Serratia symbiotica. RNAcentral's name for it is "tRNA-Ser". It matches the Rfam family "tRNA". From Rfam's summary of the family: Transfer RNA (tRNA) molecules are approximately 80 nucleotides in length. Their secondary structure includes four short double-helical elements and three loops (D, anti-codon, and T loops). Lineage: Bacteria; Pseudomonadati; Pseudomonadota; Gammaproteobacteria; Enterobacterales; Yersiniaceae. The record is from RNAcentral.
GGGUGAUUAGCUUAAGUUGACUUUUAAUCAAUUAGUCGCAGGUUCGAAUCCUGCACGACCCACCA